This 483-nucleotide ribosomal RNA is filed under the name Coccus sp. CCG-AL-19. RNAcentral's name for it is "partial 12S ribosomal RNA". The record is from RNAcentral. Lineage: Eukaryota; Metazoa; Arthropoda; Insecta; Hemiptera; Coccidae.
AAUAAAUUAAAAUUAAAUAUAAACAAAAAAAAUAAAUUUACUUUUAAAUUAUUAAAAAAUUAAAUAUAACCUUUAAACCAAACAAACAAUUAAUUUAAUCGUCAUUUUUAAUUUAAAUAUAGAUCUACCAUAUUAAAAAUUUAAAUCAUAAAAGAUUAAAUAAUUUAAAACUAAUCAUGACAACAAUAAAUAAAAUAAAAAUAACCUAAAUUUAAAGUGCAACUUCCUAUUAAUAAACAAAUUACCCUAAUAUAAAAAUACCGCCAAAAUUAAUAAUUUUUAUAAAGUAAUAAAAUAAAUCUCAUUAACAAAAAUUAUUUAAUAAAUAUAAAUAGGGUAUCUAAUCCUAUUAUAAAAAAAACUAAAAAUUUUUAACAUAUUAACAAAAAUUAAUCUAUAUAUUUCACCAUAAAAAUAAAAAUUAAAUUAAACAUAUAAAAAUAAAUAAAUUCUAAUUUAACAUAUUAAAUACAUUAUAGAUGU